UUGGCUGAUCAGAUACGAAGAGCGAGCAAAUCGAUCUGCGCAAACAUCGCGGAAGGUUACGGCAAGCAACACCAUUCCAAGGCUGAAUUUAAACGCUAUCUGGUGAUGGCGAUUGGUUCAAGUGAUGAAAUGAGAGUCUGGCUUCGAUACUGCCUCGAUUUAUCUCUGAUACCUGAGGAUAAAUGGAGUACAUGGAGAGAUGAAUACAAUGAAAUCUCAAAAAUGCUCCAAGGAAUGUACAGAAGUUGGAAAUAGUUUUUAUCAUGCGCGCUAGCGCGAAACUAUUCUGAGCUCUGUCCCCUGUCCUCUGUCUUCUGAUAACGGUAGGAGAACAUUGUGGCCGCCUGAGAAGGUACACCGAAAGGAGUGCUGGAGGUUCCACAAGAGCUUAUGUUGACACGAGUAGCGAUAAAAGGGGUGAGAAACCCCUUCGCCGAAAGCCUAAGGUUUCCUGUAGUCAAGUUAAUCUGCUCAGGGUUAGUCGGCUCCUAAGGCGAGGCCGAGAGGCGUAGUCGAUGGGAAACAGGUUAAUAUUCCUGUACCACUUUCAUAAUGUUAUGGUAAGGGGGGACGGAGAAGGUAAGGCCAUCCGGGCGUUGGUUGUCCCGGUUUAAGCGUGUAGGUGGAGGACUUUGGCAAAUCCGGGUCCUUAUUCAACACUGAGGCGUGAUGACGAUGUCUUUUAGACAGUAAAGUGGCUGGUUCCAUGCUUCCAGGAAAAUCCUCGUAUCUAGUUAUGAAUGUGACCGUACCGUAAACCGACACAGGUAGGCAGGUAGAGAAUACCAAGGCGCUUGAGAGAACUCUGGUUAAGGAACUCGGCAAAAUAGCACCGUAACUUUGGGAGAAGGUGUGCCUGCAUGGUGAUUUUUUUUACAAAUUGAGCCUAGUCAGGUUGCAGUGAAAUGGGGGGAGCGACUGUUUACUAAAAACACAGGACUCUGCGAAGUCGAAAGACGAUGUAUAGGGUCUGACGCCUGCCCGGUGCCGGAAGGUUAAGGGGACGUGUUAGCUUAGGCGAAGCACUGAACCGAAGCCCCGGUAAACGGCGGCCGUAACUAUAACGGUCCUAAGGUAGCGAAAUUCCUUGUCGGGUAAGUUCCGACCUGCACGAAUGGCGUAACGAUUUCCCCACUGUCUCAACCAGAGACUCAGCGAAACUGUAGUACCGGUGAAGAUGCCGGUUACCCGCAACAAGACAGAAAGACCCCGUGAACCUUUACUACAGCUUGGCAUUGGUUUUUGAGGUAACAUGUGUAGGAUAGGUGGGAGACUUUGAAGUGGGCACGCCAGUGUUCAUGGAGUCACCCUUGAAAUACCACCCUUGUUAUCUUAGGAAUCUAACUGCGGUCCGUAAUCCGGA
Molecule: ribosomal RNA, 1363 nt
Filed under: marine metagenome
Description: bacterial LSU rRNA
Rfam family: Bacterial large subunit ribosomal RNA
Source: RNAcentral